RNAcentral lists this long non-coding RNA (275 nucleotides) under Mytilus galloprovincialis (Mediterranean mussel). The record is from RNAcentral. Lineage: Eukaryota; Metazoa; Mollusca; Bivalvia; Mytilida; Mytilidae.
GAACUUAGAGAUAGAAGACAAGCUCUACUGCUCGUAAAAGAAUUUCAUUUGUAAUGCUUUAAUAUGAAUUGGCUUUGAUCUGUUUGGCACAAUUUUUGUUUUUUAUUGGUUGGGACAAUUCGAAACCUAGUUAAUGUAUUUUAAUCCCGUGAAGUGUCCACAUGUAACACUCAUCUUUAAAUAGUCGCUAGUCUUGUAAACACACAUGUGAUAAUUUAAUAUUCUAUCCGGUCGCUCACUGGUACGUACAUCUUAUACACAUGAUACACAAAAGC